UGGGGAAUUUUGGACAAUGGGCGAAAGCCUGAUCCAGCAAUGCCGCGUGUGUGAAGAAGGCCUUCGGGUUGUAAAGCACUUUUGUCCGGAAAGAAAUCCUUGGCUCUAAUACAGUCGGGGGAUGACGGUGCCGGAAGAAUAAGCACCGGCUAACUACGUGCCAGCAGCCGCGGUAAUACGUAGGGUGCAAGCGUUAAUCGGAAUUACUGGGCGUAAAGCGUGCGCAGGCGGUUUGCUAAGACCGAUGUGAAAUCCCCGGGCUCAACCUGGGAACUGCAUUGGUGACUGGCAGGCUAGAGUAUGGCAGAGGGGGGUAGAAUUCCACGUGUAGCAGUGAAAUGCGUAGAGAUGUGGAGGAAUACCGAUGGCGAAGGCAGCCCCCUGGGCCAAUACUGACGCUCAUGCACGAAAGCGUGGGGAGCAAACAGGAUUAGAUACCCUGGUAGUCCACGCCCUAAAACGAUGUCAAACUAGUUGUUGGGGAUUCAUUUCCUUAGUAACGUAGCUAACGCGUGAAGUUGACCGCCUGGGGAGUACGGUCGCAAGAUUAAAAGCUCAAAAUGAAUUG
This 568-nucleotide ribosomal RNA is filed under the name uncultured bacterium. RNAcentral's name for it is "partial 16S ribosomal RNA". It matches the Rfam family "Bacterial small subunit ribosomal RNA", at positions 355 to 912 of the family's 1533-position model. The record is from RNAcentral.